Molecule: transfer RNA, 69 nt
Filed under: Gekko hokouensis
Lineage: Eukaryota; Metazoa; Chordata; Lepidosauria; Squamata; Gekkonidae
Also listed under: 1 other name
Description: tRNA-Thr
Rfam family: tRNA
About the family: Transfer RNA (tRNA) molecules are approximately 80 nucleotides in length. Their secondary structure includes four short double-helical elements and three loops (D, anti-codon, and T loops).
Source: RNAcentral
GUCUUAGUAGCUUAACACAAAAGCACUGAUUUUGUAAAUCAGCGACGAGCAAGCAAUGCUCCUAAAACA